GCACCUCAUAAAACGGGUGCCGGGAUUGGCGUCCUGAAAAUUCUGAAGGCGACAUAUGACGCGCCGAGCGUCUUUUUU
Molecule: small RNA, 78 nt
Filed under: Escherichia coli
Lineage: Bacteria; Pseudomonadati; Pseudomonadota; Gammaproteobacteria; Enterobacterales; Enterobacteriaceae
Also listed under: 2 other names
Description: isrK Hfq binding RNA
Rfam family: isrK Hfq binding RNA
Source: RNAcentral